UACAGAGGGUGCAAGCGUUAAUCGGAAUUACUGGGCGUAAAGCGUGCGUAGACGGUUAUGUAAGUCAGGCGUGAAAGCCCCGGGCUCAACCUGGGAACAGCGCUUGAGACUGGCACGCUCGAGUUCGGGAGAGGAUGGUGGAAUUCCCAGUGUAGAGGUGAAAUUCGUAGAUAUUGGGAAGAACACCGAUGGCGAAGGCAGCCAUCUGGACCGACACUGACGCUGAGGCGCGAAAGCGUGGGGAUCGAACAGG
RNAcentral lists this ribosomal RNA (253 nucleotides) under uncultured bacterium. RNAcentral's name for it is "partial 16S ribosomal RNA". It matches the Rfam family "Bacterial small subunit ribosomal RNA", at positions 524 to 776 of the family's 1533-position model. The record is from RNAcentral.